RNAcentral lists this ribosomal RNA (582 nucleotides) under Schizophyllum commune. RNAcentral's name for it is "LSU rRNA". It matches the Rfam family "Eukaryotic large subunit ribosomal RNA", at positions 66 to 632 of the family's 3401-position model. The record is from RNAcentral. Lineage: Eukaryota; Fungi; Basidiomycota; Agaricomycetes; Agaricales; Schizophyllaceae.
UAACAAGGAUUCCCCUAGUAACUGCGAGUGAAGCGGGAAAAGCUCAAAUUUAAAAUCUGGCGGUCUCCGGCCGUCCGAGUUGUAAUUUAGAGAAGCGUUAUCCGUGCUGGACCGUGUAUAAGUCUCCUGGAAUGGAGCGUCAUAGAGGGUGAGAAUCCCGUCUUUGACACGGACUACCAGUGCAUUGUGAUGCGCUCUCGACGAGUCGAGUUGUUUGGGAAUGCAGCUCAAAAUGGGUGGUAAAUGCCAUCUAAAGCUAAAUAUUGGCGAGAGACCGAUAGCGAACAAGUACCGUGAGGGAAAGAUGAAAAGAACUUUGGAAAGAGAGUUAAACAGUACGUGAAAUUGUCGAAAGGGAAACGGUUGCAGUCAGUCGCGUCCGCCGGGGAUCAACCUUGCUUUUGCUUGGCGUAUUUCCCGGUGGAUGGGUCAGCAUCAGUUUUGACCGCAGUUGAAAGGCUGGAGGAAUGUGGCACCUUCGGGUGUGUUAUAGCCUCCUGUCAUAUGCUGCGGUUGGGACUGAGGAACUCAGCACGCCGCAAGGCCGGGAUUCGUCCACGUUCGUGCUUAGGAUGCUGGCAU